GGAGAGAUGUCAGAGUGGUUGAUUGAGCCGCUCUCGAAAAGCGGUAGGGUCCGAAAGACCCUCGUGGGUUCGAAUCCCACUCUCUCCGCC
RNAcentral lists this transfer RNA (90 nucleotides) under Thermogemmatispora argillosa. RNAcentral describes it as "tRNA-Ser". It matches the Rfam family "tRNA". From Rfam's summary of the family: Transfer RNA (tRNA) molecules are approximately 80 nucleotides in length. Their secondary structure includes four short double-helical elements and three loops (D, anti-codon, and T loops). Lineage: Bacteria; Bacillati; Chloroflexota; Ktedonobacteria; Thermogemmatisporales; Thermogemmatisporaceae. The record is from RNAcentral.